Molecule: long non-coding RNA, 983 nt
Organism: Labeo rohita (rohu)
Lineage: Eukaryota; Metazoa; Chordata; Actinopteri; Cypriniformes; Cyprinidae
Exons: 3
Source: RefSeq, a predicted model, not a curated record
AAACUCACGGAUUCGGAUUCGCGGAUAUGAUGGAAGAAGGCCAAACGCUCCUGUCUUGUGGAAUUACACACUGGCCCAUUCCACUGUCCUUCCUGUGUGUUUGGCUUUUUCAGAACCUGCAUGGACAAGUCUGAUGAGUUUGGAGAUGUUGCCGUGGCCCUCCUUACAGACAAUGGCACAAAUCCAGUUCAUUACCAACCUGUGAAAGUCUCAUGUCAUCAUGGAGAUAUGACUCAAGUUGUUAGGUCUAAAUACAACACAAUUACAAAAGAGACUAAUAAAUAUUGUUUAAUUGUACUUCAUAGUUGUCAAAUACACAAUAAAAUAACUAGUUAAGAUGAUCCAUUAAGUAAUAACAAUAAUGUAAUAUAAAAUGACAAAUAAUUAUAAUGGAAUAUAUAAUGUUAACAUGAAAAUAACUAGUAAUUAUAAUGUUAUACAAUAAAUACAAUAUAAAUUAACAAAAUAAUCAGAAAAACCCACAAUAUAAUGAAUAAAGAAAAUAAUAAUAAAUGCUAGUAAUAACAAAUAAUAAACUCAGAUUUGGUAGUCUUCGCAUCACAGCUUCUCUUAUCACAGAGCUUGAUGAAGCACAUCGGUGGGUGAUGGAAUGGACUCUGUAGUCAACAACUUGUGGGUUUGCUGUCUUGGAUGGCUAUCCACUAGCGUUGGGUGGUGAGUGUUGUCCCAUCACACCAUAUCUAUGGGAAUGACCCACGGCGUCAGGUGGUGUGACACGCUCACUGACCCAUCGCUCACCUGAAGCACUCUUACCAUAGCGAGACGCUGCUUUAUUUCUUGCACUGACAGUGACAGAUCAAUAGUGAGGCAUCGCUCGGUGGGUGACGGAUGGUGUCAAAGACGGCUUCUCAUGAGAUUGUUGACUACAAAAAUAAUAAGAAUAUAUUUGCAAAUAAGAACCUAAGUGAUGCGAUGACUACCAGUCAGGGUACAGAAGGUGAUCCGUCCUUGAUAGAAUUGAA